GAUCAUGAUAACUAGUCGAAUCGACAGGCCUUGUGCCGGCGAUGGCUCAUUCAAAUUUCUUCCCUAUCAACUUUCGAUGUUUGGGUAUUGGCCAAACAUGGUGGCAACGGGUAACGGAGGGUUAGGGCUCGACCCCGGAGAAGGAGCCUGAGAAACGGCUACUACAUCCAAGGAAGGCAGCAGGCGCGCAAAUUACCCAAUCCCGACACGGGGAGGUAGUGACAAUAAAUACUGAUACAGGGCUCUUUUGGGUCUUGUAAUCGGAAUGAGUACAAUUUAAAUCCCUUAACGAGGAACAAUUGGAGGGCAAGUCUGGUGCCAGCAGCCGCGGUAAUUCCAGCUCCAAUAGCGUAUAUUAAAGUUGUUGUGGUUAAAAAGCUCGUAGUUGAACCUUGGGCCUGGCUGGCCGGUCCGCCUCACCGCGUGCACUGGUCCGGCCGGGCCUUUCCCUCUGCGGAACCCCAUGCCCUUCACUGGGUGUGGCGGGGAACCAGGACUUUUAC
RNAcentral lists this ribosomal RNA (503 nucleotides) under uncultured fungus. Its description in RNAcentral is "SSU rRNA". It matches the Rfam family "Eukaryotic small subunit ribosomal RNA", at positions 249 to 755 of the family's 1831-position model. The record is from RNAcentral. Lineage: Eukaryota; Fungi.